RNAcentral lists this ribosomal RNA (408 nucleotides) under Streptomyces sp. enrichment culture clone pm4. RNAcentral's name for it is "bacterial SSU rRNA". It matches the Rfam family "Bacterial small subunit ribosomal RNA", at positions 355 to 775 of the family's 1533-position model. Lineage: Bacteria; Bacillati; Actinomycetota; Actinomycetes; Kitasatosporales; Streptomycetaceae. The record is from RNAcentral. RNAcentral also lists the same sequence under 1 other name.
UGGGGAAUAUUGCACAAUGGGCGAAAGCCUGAUGCAGCGACGCCGCGUGAGGGAUGACGGCCUUCGGGUUGUAAACCUCUUUCAGCAGGGAAGAAGCGAAAGUGACGGUACCUGCAGAAGAAGCGCCGGCUAACUACGUGCCAGCAGCCGCGGUAAUACGUAGGGCGCAAGCGUUGUCCGGAAUUAUUGGGCGUAAAGAGCUCGUAGGCGGCUUGUCACGUCGGGUGUGAAAGCCCGGGGCUUAACCCCGGGUCUGCAUCCGAUACGGGCAGGCUAGAGUGUGGUAGGGGAGAUCGGAAUUCCUGGUGUAGCGGUGAAAUGCGCAGAUAUCAGGAGGAACACCGGUGGCGAAGGCGGAUCUCUGGGCCAUUACUGACGCUGAGGAGCGAAAGCGUGGGGAGCGAACAG